GGUAAGAUGGCUGAAUGCUUAGGCGGUGGGCUGUAGACCCAUAUAUAAAGGUUCAAAUCCUUUUCUUAUCA
This 71-nucleotide transfer RNA is filed under the name Pisodonophis boro. Its description in RNAcentral is "tRNA-Tyr". It matches the Rfam family "tRNA". Rfam says of the family: Transfer RNA (tRNA) molecules are approximately 80 nucleotides in length. Their secondary structure includes four short double-helical elements and three loops (D, anti-codon, and T loops). Further hydrogen bonds mediate the characteristic L-shaped molecular structure. tRNAs have two regions of fundamental functional importance: the anti-codon, which is responsible for specific mRNA codon recognition, and the 3' end, to which the tRNAs corresponding amino acid is attached (by aminoacyl-tRNA synthetases). tRNAs cope with the degeneracy of the genetic code in two manners: having more than one tRNA (with a specific anti-codon) for a particular amino acid; and 'wobble' base-pairing, i.e. permitting non-standard base-pairing at the 3rd anti-codon position. The record is from RNAcentral. Lineage: Eukaryota; Metazoa; Chordata; Actinopteri; Anguilliformes; Ophichthidae.